AACGUAGGACGCAAGCGUUAUCCGGAGUUACUGGGCGUAAAGCGCGGGCAGGCGGUCGCUUAAGUCUGAUGUGAAAUCUCCCGGCUCAACCGGGAGCAGCCAUUGGAAACUAGGCGACUGGAGUCUGGCAGAGGUAGGCGGAAUUCCGGGUGGAGUGGUGAAAUGCGUAGAGAUCCGGAGGAACACCAGAGGCGAAGGUGGCCUACUGGGCCAGUACUGACGCUGAUGUGCGAAAGCGUGGGGAGCAAACAGG
RNAcentral lists this ribosomal RNA (253 nucleotides) under uncultured bacterium. Its description in RNAcentral is "partial 16S ribosomal RNA". It matches the Rfam family "Bacterial small subunit ribosomal RNA", at positions 524 to 776 of the family's 1533-position model. The record is from RNAcentral.